This 468-nucleotide ribosomal RNA is filed under the name uncultured bacterium. Its description in RNAcentral is "partial 16S ribosomal RNA". It matches the Rfam family "Bacterial small subunit ribosomal RNA", at positions 28 to 507 of the family's 1533-position model. The record is from RNAcentral.
GACGAACGCUGGCGGCGUGCUUAACACAUGCAAGUCGAACGGAAAGGCCCUGCUUUUGUGGGGUGCUCGAGUGGCGAACGGGUGAGUAACACGUGAGUAACCUGCCCUUGACUUUGGGAUAACUUCAGGAAACUGGGGCUAAUACCGGAUAGGAGCUCCUGCUGCAUGGUGGGGGUUGGAAAGUUUCGGCGGUUGGGGAUGGACUCGCGGCUUAUCAGCUUGUUGGUGGGGUAGUGGCUUACCAAGGCUUUGACGGGUAGCCGGCCUGAGAGGGUGACCGGCGACAUUGGGACUGAGAUACGGCCCAGACUCCUACGGGAGGCAGCAGUGGGGACUAUUGCACAAUGGGAGGAAGCCUGAUGCAGCAACGCCGCGUGCGGGAUGACGGCCUUCGGGUUGUAAACCGCUUUCGCCUGUGACGAAGCGUGAGUGACGGUAAUGGGUAAAGAAGCACCGGCUAACUACGUG